Molecule: long non-coding RNA, 703 nt
Organism: Diachasmimorpha longicaudata
Lineage: Eukaryota; Metazoa; Arthropoda; Insecta; Hymenoptera; Braconidae
Exons: 3
Source: RefSeq, a predicted model, not a curated record
GGGAUGAUAAAGCUUUUUUUCUCAUGGGUUCUAAUUUAUCCGAAAGUAAUUGGGUAUGUGCACUGAUUAUUGGAUGGUACAUUCAAUGAAUUUAUCGUGAAAGCUCGGGACAAUGAUGUGCUAUCGGGUUCGCCGCAACUUUUUGAGGCUUCGAAACUUUUUUUUUUCAGAUAAAUGUUAUUUUGCAGUUGUCCCUCGCGAAUAUUCGAGACAGUUAUCGAACAUUCGAAAAAAGGUUUUUAAAUUCGCGGUCUCUCCGAGGAAAAACCAGUCGUAGUCGUCAAUCAUUAAAGUCGGCCAGUCAACUCCGGUCACAUUCUGAUCUAGAUUCAACUUGACAACCGGUGUAUUUUUGUUAAACAUUUGUGUCUCAGAAAUAAAUAAUGGACGUCGUUCGCGGAAUGAUGGAUUAUAUUUCUGAGGAUGUUCAAUAAGUACUGGGUUUUUGGGACAUGUUAUGAUAAAAAAUUCAAAUAUCAAGCUUCAAGGAAAAGUGAAACAUUAAUUUUUCAAUUGACACCUAAAGUAGUCAGUUAAUUUUUCUUUUUAUAAUCAAAUUUACUCACUUGCACAAUUUACUUACUUUGAUGAUCAAUUAGGAAAAUUUAAUUCCAAACGUAAUCGAUCUUUCUAUAUUUUUCUUUAGUUUUAGAAAAAGAAUUUAAUUAAUUUUUUAAUUUGCUAAAAGAAUUAAUGAACACGA